CAAGAGCAAGGCGGCGUCUGGAUCUGGUGCCUCCAGCGCCUCGCCCCAAGAGGGCAACACCACAACCACGGCGUCAGCAACGGAGCCAACUGUCACCACCAAUGCCGACGGCAGUGCCACGUAUG
Molecule: non-coding RNA, 125 nt
Filed under: Platyophrya macrostoma
Lineage: Eukaryota; Ciliophora; Colpodea; Cyrtolophosidida; Platyophryidae
Source: RNAcentral